CUCGUGGGCGGCCAACUAAGUCGGACGUGAAAUCCCUCGGCUUAACCGGGGAACUGCGUCCGAUACUGGAUGGCUUGAGUUCGGGAGAGGGAUGCGGAAUUCCAGGUGUAGCGGUGAAAUGCGUAGAUAUCUGGAGGAACACCGGUGGUGAAGGCGGCAUCCUGGACCGACACUGACGCUGAGGAGCGAAAGCCAGGGGAGCGAACGGGAUUAGAUACCCCGGUAGUCCUGGCCCUAAACGAUGAAUGCUUGGUGUGGCGGGUAUCGAUCCCUGCCGUGCCGAAGCUAACGCAUUAAGCAUUCCGCCUGGGGAGUACGGUCGCAAGGCUGAA
This 332-nucleotide ribosomal RNA is filed under the name uncultured bacterium. Its description in RNAcentral is "bacterial SSU rRNA". It matches the Rfam family "Bacterial small subunit ribosomal RNA", at positions 568 to 898 of the family's 1533-position model. The record is from RNAcentral.